CAUGUGUCUCCUCACUUGCACGUG
Molecule: non-coding RNA, 24 nt
Filed under: Arabidopsis thaliana (thale cress)
Lineage: Eukaryota; Viridiplantae; Streptophyta; Magnoliopsida; Brassicales; Brassicaceae
Source: RNAcentral